Perognathus longimembris pacificus (Pacific pocket mouse) is the source of this 102-nucleotide small nuclear RNA. NCBI's taxonomy places the organism in Eukaryota, Metazoa, Chordata, Mammalia, Rodentia, Heteromyidae. The record is from RefSeq and is a predicted model, not a curated record.
GUGCUGCUUCAGCACACAUAUUAAAAUUAUAACAAUGCUUAGAAGAAUAGUGUUGCCCAUGAAAAAGGCUUAAAACAAAUUCAUGAAAGGUUCCAUAUUUUU